GUCACAGUGUGGCAGUGUGUCCGUGUCAUGUCUCCGUGUGUCUGUACAUGUGACAGUGCGGUGGUGUGUCCGUGUGGCGAUAUCUCCAUGUGUCUGUGUGUCCGUCCACGUGGCCAUGUGGCGGUGUGCCCGUGUGGUGGUGUCUUCAUGUGGUGGUGUGUCAGUGUGACAGUAUGGCGGUGUUCCUCCCCCAGUGUGUAGUGCUGGCACCUUGCCCUCUCCGCCCAGGAUGCCCCAGAAGGCCCCAGCUUGGCGGGCAGGAGGUGGCUCCUGUGGAGGGAGGUGCAGGGAGCCCCGACAGCCGAGUUAGUGGGGUCCCCUGCAUUGGGUGGGAGUGAGGAGAAAGGCACCCGGGGAGCCAGGACAAGCCUGGGCCUGCCCUAAGGAGGUGACCUGCUCUGGGCCUGCAUUUCCUGGGCCGAGUACUCCAGCUCAGUCAUCUUGUCCUGAGUCCUUUGUGGGCCUUGGAGAUUGCUGAGUUUUGGAGAAGGGAAGGUCAUCUUUGUUGCGGAAAGCAUGAUGUGUUUCUCUAUUGCUGUCACUUUUCACCCUCACUGCUGGUGAAACAUCAAACAUAGGACACCUUCUGCCAAGAACACUCCUGGAAGUAAAUGUGGGGACUGGCAGUAUCCAACCAGAGGAGUCUCACGCGGAUUUCUGUUUGGUUGGAGAUCUGCGUUUUUCCCUGUGGGUGGCGGAAGAGGAGCAGCUCUGCAGCGGGAAGGAAGAGCCGUAGGCCAUGGCGGAGGGGGACUCCCGGGCACCUGCUGUGCAUCCUCGUGACCAGGACACACAACGGCCUCUGGAGGCCAGGCGGAGCAAGCGAGGGGCGCCAGGCAAGGUUUGGGGUUCCCGCGGCGGAAGGUGGGUCCCUGGACCCUGGGAUCCUGCUGCUGUCCGGAACAUGGGCCGCCUUCCCUCAGGCGCGCCCCUCCAGGGUCUCCUAUCUGCGACCUCAGCACAGCUCCUGGCUGGUGGGAGGAUGGGGCCGAGGCCUCAGGUCCCAGCUGGGUCUGCAGUUUCCGCCACUGGCGGCGGCGCAGGGGCGAGCUCAAGCUGUGCCCAGGCAGGAAACUCUCCGACCUUGCCAGCUUCCGCGCCAGCUUUGGUGACUCUCUCCAGCUCAGCUUCAACACCGUUCAACAGUUCUGUGUUCUCUAUUAUCACAAGAAUUCUUUCUGUAUUUGCUAUCCUUUAUCAAAUAAGAAUUUAAAGAUGCAUGUGGAGUGAUAUCACAGUUGAAACAUUAAAAAUAUAUAAUUUCAAGUGUUUAAUUUUACUUUUCUAAGAAGUAAAAUUAUGACUCUAGUGCUAAUAUAAGAUAAACACGAAUCAACAGUGUUACUCAACUCAGUAAGCAAUGAAGGUUCCAGUAAUAGGUUCAAAUCAUUGCAAGGAACAUUAAAGUAGCUUUACAGC
This 1419-nucleotide long non-coding RNA is filed under the name Piliocolobus tephrosceles (Ugandan red Colobus). RNAcentral describes it as "lncRNA (ENSPTEG00000001177.1)". The record is from RNAcentral. Lineage: Eukaryota; Metazoa; Chordata; Mammalia; Primates; Cercopithecidae.